Molecule: ribosomal RNA, 747 nt
Filed under: Dromiciops gliroides (monito del monte)
Lineage: Eukaryota; Metazoa; Chordata; Mammalia; Microbiotheria; Microbiotheriidae
Description: partial small subunit ribosomal RNA
Rfam family: Bacterial small subunit ribosomal RNA
Source: RNAcentral
UUUCCGCUAACCGGUGAGAAUGCCCUUAAAAACUAUAUAAAGUUAAAAGGAGCUGGUAUCAGGCACACCCCCUGGGUAGCCCAUUACACCUUGCUUAACCACACCCCCACGGGAUACAGCAGUGACUAACAUUAAGCCAUAAACGAAAGUUUGACUGAGUCAUAAUUUAAUAGGGUUGGUAAAUUUCGUGCCAGCCACCGCGGUCAUACGAUUAACCCAAAUUAACAGACCACCGGCGUAAAGCGUGUUUAAGUAUAAUACUCUAAUAAAGUUAAAACCUAACUAAACUGUAAAACGUUAUAGUUAAUACCAAAAUAUGCAACUAAAGUGACUUUAAUCUACACUGAACACACGAUAGCUAAGACACAAACUGGGAUUAGAUACCCCACUAUGCUUAGCCCUAAACCCAAAUAGUUAAAAAACAAAACUAUUCGCCAGGGAACUACUAGCUAAUGCUUAAAACUCAAAGGACUUGGCGGUGCCCUAAACCCACCUAGAGGAGCCUGUUCUAUAAUCGAUAAACCCCGAUAAACCCCACCUCUUCUUGCCAAUACAGCCUAUAUACCGCCAUCGUCAGCUCACCCCAAUAGGGACCCAAAGUAGGCAAAACUAUAUAAUCAUAAAAACGUUAGGUCAAGGUGUAGCAUAUGAAGAGGGAAGCAAUGGGCUACAUUUUCUAAACUAGAACAUAACGAAUGGCCUUAUGAAAUCUAAGACCUGAAGGAGGAUUUAGUAGUAAAUUAGGAG